GCCCCAGUGGCCUAAUGGAUAAGGCACUUCCCUCCUUAGCCAGGAUUUGUGGGUUCAAGUCCCAGGAGGGGUG
This is a non-coding RNA of Danionella cerebrum, 73 nucleotides long. The record is from the annotation of a GenBank genome assembly. NCBI's taxonomy places the organism in Eukaryota, Metazoa, Chordata, Actinopteri, Cypriniformes, Danionidae.